Long non-coding RNA from Dendronephthya gigantea, 118 nucleotides. RefSeq lists it as uncharacterized. The transcript is spliced from 3 exons. NCBI's taxonomy places the organism in Eukaryota, Metazoa, Cnidaria, Anthozoa, Malacalcyonacea, Nephtheidae. The record is from RefSeq and is a predicted model, not a curated record.
AGUGUCUAUUGUGAAUGUGGAGCGAAAGGUGAAUGAGUCACGGCCUGCACUGGUGCACUUAACCGGGCAUCACAGCGACCGGGGAAAAUUGAAUGAUGAAGUGCUGGAUAUUUAGAAA